RNAcentral lists this ribosomal RNA (253 nucleotides) under uncultured bacterium. RNAcentral's name for it is "partial 16S ribosomal RNA". It matches the Rfam family "Bacterial small subunit ribosomal RNA", at positions 524 to 776 of the family's 1533-position model. The record is from RNAcentral.
UACGUAGGGGGCAAGCGUUGUCCGGAAUCAUUGGGCGUAAAGAGCGUGUAGGCGGCCAGAAAAGUCCGCUGUGAAAACUCGAGGCUCAACUUCGAGCUGUCGGUGGAAACUUUCUGGCUAGAGUCCGGAAGAGGAGAAUGGAAUUCCUGGUGUAGCGGUGAAAUGCGCAGAUAUCAGGAGGAACACCGGUGGCGGAGGCGGGACUCUGGGCCGAUACUGACGCUGAGGAGCGAAAGCGUGGGGAGCAAACAGG